This 433-nucleotide ribosomal RNA is filed under the name uncultured bacterium. Its description in RNAcentral is "partial 16S ribosomal RNA". It matches the Rfam family "Bacterial small subunit ribosomal RNA", at positions 29 to 507 of the family's 1533-position model. The record is from RNAcentral.
AACGAACGCUGGCGGCAGGCCUAACACAUGCAAGUCGAGCGAGGACUUCUGUCCUAGCGGCGGACGGGUGAGUAACGCGUGGGAACGUGCCCUUUGCUUCGGAAUAGCCCUGGGAAACUGGGAGUAAUACCGGAUGAGCCCUUUGGGGGAAAGAUUUAUCGGCGAAGGAUCGGCCCGCGUUGGAUUAGGUAGUUGGUGGGGUAAUGGCCUACCAAGCCGACGCUCCAUAGCUGGUUUGAGAGGAUGAUCAGCCACACUGGGACUGAGACACGGCCCAGACUCCUACGGGAGGCAGCAGUGGGGAAUCUUAGACAAUGGGGGAAACCCUGAUCUAGCCAUGCCGCGUGAGCGAUGAAGGCCUUAGGGUUGUAAAGCUCUUUCAGCUGGGAAGAUAAUGACGGUACCAGCAGAAGAAGCCCCGGCUAACUCCGUG